CCCUCCUGCACCUCCUCCCGAAGAUGGAGAUUGGUCUCCCCCUUCACCAGUAUGUCCUCCACCACUACCACCUCCGCCGCCACCUCCUCCUCCUAUAUGUCCCACACCUUUACCACCACCGUCACCACCUCCUCCUAAACAUCCGCCGCCACCUCCACCGCCAUCUCCUCCUCCUCCUCCACCGCCACCUCCACCACCACCUCCACCGCGGCCAACAGGGCUUCCUCCAAAUAUUAAGAGAGAUUACUUCACAAUUCAGAAAUUCAAGAAGACUAUUACUCAUGACCCCUUCCAUAUAACAGAUU
Molecule: long non-coding RNA, 305 nt
Filed under: Ricinus communis (castor bean)
Lineage: Eukaryota; Viridiplantae; Streptophyta; Magnoliopsida; Malpighiales; Euphorbiaceae
Description: long non-coding RNA (RCOM_LNC001019)
Source: RNAcentral